Danio rerio (zebrafish) is the source of this 539-nucleotide non-coding RNA. Lineage: Eukaryota; Metazoa; Chordata; Actinopteri; Cypriniformes; Danionidae. The record is from Ensembl.
GCAAAUUAACUCUACACGCUUUUCUUAUUUGCACUGCUUAUAAGGUAAAUUAAUGACGUUUUAGUCAUUUAUAAUGAUGUGUAAUUGCACAUGCAUGUACUGUUUAUAAGUAAACCGUCAUUUCAAUCUAAAUGGGCUUUGACAAGACACUUGGAACGUUUCCACCGCUUGUCGCCAAACUGCCUUAAGUGGCACUGACCCUUCUGUUUACAUCCAAAUGACAUCGAGAGAGAUGAUCCCCAUCACCUGCAGCCGUAUUCCCAACACACCUGCAGGUGAAUGACAUCAUGCCUGGCAUCUCCUCGCAGUAAGGAGCCCGUCCUGUGUCCACCCUUUAAACGUCUGUGCAAUAGUUCUCCCUUGUGGCCACUACACAGCACACACACUUUAUGGACAGGUCUGCGUUGUGCUGUAAGGAACCAUACUUUUUAAUUCUUUACAUUUUGAAUCCGGCCACUGUUACCGCUCUCUUGUCUUGGAAGAGAGUGGGACCCUCAGUAUGCACAAGCUGAGGGGAGGCCCUGGCCCUCCAGUCCAGG